Molecule: ribosomal RNA, 483 nt
Filed under: uncultured bacterium
Lineage: Bacteria
Description: partial 16S ribosomal RNA
Rfam family: Bacterial small subunit ribosomal RNA
Source: RNAcentral
AUUGAACGCUGGCGGCAGGCCUAACACAUGCAAGUCGAGCGGAUGAAGGGAGCUUGCUCCUGGAUUCAGCGGCGGACGGGUGAGUAAUGCCUAGGAAUCUGCCUGGUAGUGGGGGAUAACGUCCGGAAACGGGCGCUAAUACCGCAUACGUCCUGAGGGAGAAAGUGGGGGAUCUUCGGACCUCACGCUAUCAGAUGAGCCUAGGUCGGAUUAGCUAGUUGGUGGGGUAAAGGCCUACCAAGGCGACGAUCCGUAACUGGUCUGAGAGGAUGAUCAGUCACACUGGAACUGAGACACGGUCCAGACUCCUACGGGAGGCAGCAGUGGGGAAUAUUGGACAAUGGGCGAAAGCCUGAUCCAGCCAUGCCGCGUGUGUGAAGAAGGUCUUCGGAUUGUAAAGCACUUUAAGUUGGGGGGAAGGGCAGUAAGUUAAUACCUUGCUGUUUGGACGUUACCAACAGAAUAAGCACCGGCUAACUUCGU